Molecule: ribosomal RNA, 253 nt
Filed under: uncultured bacterium
Lineage: Bacteria
Description: partial 16S ribosomal RNA
Rfam family: Bacterial small subunit ribosomal RNA
Source: RNAcentral
UACGGGGGGGGCAAGCGUUGUUCGGAAUUACUGGGCGUAAAGGGCCAGUAGGCGGCCAACUAAGUCGGAUGUGAAAUCCCCAAGCUUAACUUGGGAACUGCAUCCGAUACUGGAUGGCUUGAAUCCGGGAGAGGGAUGCAGAAUUCCAGGUGUAGCGGUGAAAUGCGUAGAUAUCUGGAGGAAUACCGGUGGCGAAGGCGGCAUCCUGGACCGGCAUUGACGCUGAGGAGCGAAAGCUAGGGGAGCAAACGGG